GAAAAAACGCUAACCUCCGCCAUCCCCACGCCGCGCCGCCCGCCUGACCUCAGCCACGCACACGCUGCCCUCCCCACGCCGCCGCGCCGCCCGCCGUCCCCAUGCCACCGCGCUGCCCGCCGUCUACCGCCACCGCCCCGCGCGCGCACCUGCCGGAGCCGCUCGCUCUACCCCACCACUUCCUCACACGCGGCCGUCGCCGCCUCGGAUCUGUGUGUCGCCGCUGUCUACUCCCCAGCCCCGCGACUACUCCGCCGUCCACGGUUCGUCGCUGUCGCCCGUCGUCCGUGGCCACAUAGCCGUGUGAUCCCCCAUCCCUAUAUCCCCGUCGCGCCGCCUCGCCAUAUCCAGAUCACCACGACGAUUCCUCCAGAACGAAGAGCUGCUCUCCUUUCUCGGCUCCUCCGUUGGGAUCGAGAAGCUAUUCGGACAACCUCCACUCCAACCAAGCACCGCCAGAGAGGACAGAGCUGGGGCUGAGGUGGGGAGAAGAGGAGCCAGCCGCCGGUCGGCCCGUCCGUCGCUGCCCCCGUGCUCCCACCUCCUGCUUUCACGCCGACUGCCACUGCUCUUCCGGACUGGCAGAGCCCAAGCAGUAGGAGGCACCGAUGAAGGUGAUGAGGACUUGAGAUGAGGCAGUAUGCAGGCUUGCAGAGAUGCAAAUUAGGCGUUAAUUUCUUCAGGUCCCUUCUUGCAGCAGGAAUUGCUCAAAUCAGGUACCUUCCUACACCUGACAGUGUGCCCCCUGUUCCAGCGGCGGUUACAAAGAUAUCAACUUUGCCGGCUGUAUCCUUCCAGAUCUCAGGUCCUGACAUUUUCAGAAAAUGAACAUGUGUAUCAUAUAAAGCAAAGUUAUGGACAGUAGAUGAUAAAACAUUGUUGUGAGGCUGUGUUUAGUUCACACUGAAGUUUGGAAGUUUGAUUGAAAGUUUUCUAUCACGAUGUGAUAGAAAAGUUGUGUGUGUAUGAAAGGUUUGAUGUGAUGGAAAGUUGGAAGUUUGGAAAAAAACUUUGCAUAUCACUGAAGUGUGGAUUUCCAGAAUUAUUUACCAGUCCA
Long non-coding RNA from Oryza sativa Japonica Group (Japanese rice), 1057 nucleotides. RefSeq lists it as uncharacterized. NCBI's taxonomy places the organism in Eukaryota, Viridiplantae, Streptophyta, Magnoliopsida, Poales, Poaceae. The record is from RefSeq and is a predicted model, not a curated record.